AAAAAAGAAAAAGGAAAAAUAAAUCGUGCAAGAAAUUUAUUAGCUAAAAGGGCGGACCUGUUGUUUCUCGAUGUGGCUUAAAUUAAGAAACGUGAACAAGAUUUUGAAUAGGAAUGUUGUAACUAGGAAGAUGGUGAUUUUAGAUUGUUCAGUAUAACAUAACGUAAGGUAACGUAACGCGAGAUGCCAUCACUCUCAUGUUGCGUAACUUUGGCAAAAGGUUCGGUACACCUCCUCUCGCGUGGAGGAGACAUACAAAAAUAUCCUUGCGCAACGCGAGCACGACGUACGCGCAAAAUUAUAAUCCGGCACACGCAAUCGACGCGACGAGAUAAAUAAAGUAACAUUUAAUUUGCCGCGAGAGAUUGUGGGUCAGACUCUUACUCUGACUAUGAGCCUUUCCUGUGGUCUGAUAACUGGCGCGUUCGCUCGUCGUUAUUUUUAACUCGUCGUUACGAUGCUCACGAGUGCAUCAUCGAGGAUGAUCGAGGGGAUCGUGAAUGAAACGAGCAAUGGCGUGCACUGGAGCACACGCGUGAGACGUGAAUAUCAUGAGAAUAUCACGACUAUAUAGCUGACAUACUUUCGUGUAUCGAUUGUAAAUGACUGGCCAACUCCUGGAAACUGAUAACGGCAUGAUAAACCACGGCGGUAUUCACUUAACAAUAAUUAAUAUGCCAGAAUUAUGGCUUUUACCAUUAUUAUCUCAUAAGAAAGAUCUUAAAUAAAUCAAUAAUGUAGUAAUGAGUAUGAUAAUAAUACAAUUCACAGCAAGAAUUCAAUUAGAGAACGUGUAAAAUUGAUAUUUGAUGAUUGAAUAAAAAAUUGAUUUAAUAGUUA
This is a long non-coding RNA of Pogonomyrmex barbatus (red harvester ant), 840 nucleotides long. Lineage: Eukaryota; Metazoa; Arthropoda; Insecta; Hymenoptera; Formicidae. The record is from RefSeq and is a predicted model, not a curated record.